This is a long non-coding RNA of Nyctereutes procyonoides (raccoon dog), 1374 nucleotides long. RefSeq lists it as uncharacterized. The transcript has 3 exons. The record is from RefSeq and is a predicted model, not a curated record. NCBI's taxonomy places the organism in Eukaryota, Metazoa, Chordata, Mammalia, Carnivora, Canidae.
UCCAUUUUCCACCGCAUAAUCUUCCUAUUGUCCACACUGAUUUCUGUUUGGUUUGGCAGGGCUAGCUGCUGGCAGCCUUCCUGGGCGCAGCGUUCUCCAUACCCCCGUGCAGGGGUUACUGAAAUAACAACCAGCUUUCCCUCACUCUUGGAACAGGAGCCAAGUGCGACACAAAUUGUGAAAUUUGUUUCUGGUUACCAGGAAAACGUAAAGAAAUCCCAAUGAAGCAAAAAGGUCGACAAAAUUCUUUCCAACAUUUGAACAAAAAAGGUAUUUUUCGGGUCUUAGAUUUAUGGAAAUCAAUUCUCCAGCUCCCAGACAGACUUUCAAACCUCCUAUUCUUUGCACUACGUUAUUUAAACACCCUGUAAAUACCCUUAGUGGCUCUAAUAGUAGCUCCGUAUUGUGCAAGACAGCCAUGGUCUGAAGACUUUCUUGAAUUUGAAAGACAGAAGUUCCGUUUCUGGCACAUAAACUUGAAUUACGGCUGUGGUAAGACUACCAAUGAGGCCCAGAUUUUGACAGCUAGGCAAGCAGGUCAUUUAUUUGGAAAGACUUUGAAUCCCUUCCUAGAGUAAAAUGCAGUCCUUUAUACCCAGCAGGCUUAGAAUAAAAGCUUCUUCACUGACUUGAUCAGUGUCCUGAAUUUUAGGGUAUAGGAAGGUAUUUCUGAUAACUUGAAAAUGGAGGAAAGAUGGAAAAACUGAGCUUGGAAAGAAAACCACCUGGUGGUUCCUGCCAUGACAUUUCCUAACUUAUGUAUUGAGUGAAGGUUUACAUUGUUUAUUGAAAAUAUUACCUCCUUGUGACGACACUCCAAGUCUGAGAAGUAAACACAAAAGGAAUGAAGAGAACAUGGGUAUCUGAAGCCUCCAGGAUGAAACUUAUAAAACCCAUGGACAUCCAUCAACCAAUCAUCAGUGGGUUUAACCAGGACUGGGAACCUCCACACUCCCCCAUUGACCAUACAUCUGCUCUGCUCUGGCUCUGUCAAUGACUUUGGACUACUGGCUCUGGCACUUUUCUCCACCAUGACAAUGUGUAACCUGAUUGUCCAGUUAUGCUGAUCCAACACUACAAGACUGGAAAGGAGCUGAGUCAUAGGAAAGCCAAGCACAGCUUCACCCUAAAACAUCUACUCCCUGCAUCAUCCAAGCCUUGCUGCAGAGACUGGACCAUUCAUCAAGACUUCUACACAGAGUGUUACUUUAGGGAUCCUAUUUUCUUUUCCUUCUGUCUAGCCCGCCUUUUGGAAAUAUACCAUACACCCUGGCCAUCAGACAAACCUGUAUCUGCCUUAAUGCAACUGUCUCAUUCAAAUGAGUUCCUGGGCUGGGAGCUCCCAAAACUGGGGGCUGAACUUUUGAAAGCACA